This 369-nucleotide ribosomal RNA is filed under the name uncultured bacterium. RNAcentral describes it as "bacterial SSU rRNA". It matches the Rfam family "Bacterial small subunit ribosomal RNA", at positions 527 to 896 of the family's 1533-position model. The record is from RNAcentral.
GGAGGGGACUAGCGUUGUUCGGAAUUACUGGGCGUAAAGCGCGCGUAGGCGGAUUUGCAAGUCGGGGGUGAAAUCCCGAGGCUCAACCUCGGAACUGCCUUCGAUACUGCAAAUCUCGAGUCCGGAAGAGGUGAGUGGAAUUCCUAGUGUAGAGGUGAAAUUCGUAGAUAUUAGGAAGAACACCAGUGGCGAAGGCGGCUCACUGGUCCGGUACUGACGCUGAGGCGCGAAAGCGUGGGGAGCAAACAGGAUUAGAUACCCUGGUAGUCCACGCCGUAAACUAUGGGUGCUAGCCGUCGGGGAGCAUGCUCUUCGGUGGCGCAGCAAACGCAUUAAGCACCCCGCCUGGGGAGUACGGUCGCAAGAUUA